AAAGACUUGACGGUACCCCACACCAACCUAGAGGAGCCUGUCCAAUCAACCGAUACCCCACGAUCAACCCAACAUACUCUAGCCCCACAGUCUAUAUACCGCCGUCGCCAGCUUACCUUGCAAAAGAAACAAAGUGAGCACAACAAGCCCCCCCCCCUAACACGACAGGUCGAGGUGUAACUCAUGAGUAUGUAAAGAUGGGCUACAUUUUCUAAAACAGAAAAUCACGGAUAAACCAUGAAACUAAAAACUGAAGGAGGAUUUAGCAGUAUGCUAAGAAUAGAAAACUAAACAGAAACUAGUGCAAUGAGGUGCGUACACACCGCCCGUCAUCCCUG
This 338-nucleotide ribosomal RNA is filed under the name Erythrolamprus miliaris (military ground snake). RNAcentral's name for it is "partial small subunit ribosomal RNA". The record is from RNAcentral. Lineage: Eukaryota; Metazoa; Chordata; Lepidosauria; Squamata; Dipsadidae.